RNAcentral lists this small RNA (925 nucleotides) under Histoplasma capsulatum var. duboisii H88. RNAcentral describes it as "Histoplasma capsulatum H88 hypothetical RNA". Lineage: Eukaryota; Fungi; Ascomycota; Eurotiomycetes; Onygenales; Ajellomycetaceae. The record is from RNAcentral.
GGGCUGGGCAAUGGUUGGUGCUUAUCAACCGCCUCUACUAACUCACUAAUCGUCGGUGUCACUUUAACCUUCUUUUUACCGCUCCAACUCUUUUUGGCUGGAAAACUGAAAGAAGAAUGAUCGUUGCGCUUCUUAGGCGAAGAUGCCUUCUUAGUCGGGGACACGGAUGAGUGUGGACCAGGUUUUGUUCGAUGUGAACGUGGUUUCAGUGGUUUCGGUGCGCAAUCUGCAGGAAACUCGAGAGGAGAAGAUCGAUUCCAACCUAUCUUUAACCAACUGGUAUUAUUUCUAGUGGACCGAGACAGAGCAGAGAGCUGCUCUUCCAGCUCAAAGGUAGCCAUGCGCAGAGAUGGAGAGCUAGAGAUUGUGCUUGAGCCGGAAGCUCGUCCUGAUUUCGAUUUGGCGUGUUUACUGGGCGCCACAUGAUAAAAGCCUGAACGACGGAAUGCCUCAUCCAAAAUAUCAAGGUCAGACGGUCGUGGGUCUCGUGGCAGGAAUACCGGUUUGCUUGUCGGCUGGAUUAACCGACCGCAAUGGGAGGCAUUGCCCAUGGGUUCUUGUCCGACGGAUUCCUCUUCAGGCCAGUGUUAUCGUCGAACACGCCGGCAGUAAUGGGAGAUAUUAACGAAUAAGCCUUGUUGUGUCUAGAACAUCCGUCUGCAACGGAUUUUUGGGGGAAGUCAUCUGAGUAUAUACUCGAUCUUGAGGAGGCUGGGCUAUUCGGCACAGAGACACUUCUACCGAGCUCGGAAGAAGUAGUUGAAUUACCACUUUUCCCAGACUGGUCCAAAAGCGGGUCCGUUUCAACUUGAAUGAGCUUGUCAAAGGAGGGAGGAACAAAAGCUCGCUGAGGCUGGGGCAUAUCGAUUGACAAAGGUGAAACAACUGUCGAAGGGGCUAGAGAUUGGAUAUAUCCAGGGGUGGC